Malaclemys terrapin pileata is the source of this 592-nucleotide long non-coding RNA. RefSeq lists it as uncharacterized. The record is from RefSeq and is a predicted model, not a curated record. NCBI's taxonomy places the organism in Eukaryota, Metazoa, Chordata, Testudines, Emydidae. The transcript is spliced from 2 exons.
UCAACUUUUAACUCCACACCACAGUAGGAAGCAGCUAAACAGAAAAAAAUGGGAUAAAGUUUACCUUUCAGAAAUAUGCCAAGUAACACACUGCAGCACGCUAAGACUACAAGGACUGGAGGCUGAGUGAAGCUAAACUGCCCAGAAGCAACUGUCCAUAUUCAUUCUUGCACCACAGUUCAACGAUUAACUUUGGGCAUGUAAAAAGACCAUACAGACGUAAUUGCCGGAAACAUUGUGAAGAAGCUGAACUGAGGCUGAAGUUUAGAACUAAAUUGCGCUGAUUUUUCUUCAUUAACAUUAUACUAAUGGCAUCUUAGUGAGGUGCCACCAGUACUCCUCGUUCUUUUUGCUGAUACAGACUAACACGGCUACCACCCUGAAACCAUUCUACUAAUGGAAAUUAGUUUUCUGUCUUCAUUACGGCAAUGUACAGCACACUCUUUUGAAAAUGUAAUUAAAGCAAAGAGUUGUAUAUUGUGUAUUUUAAUAGACUGCUCAUUCGCUGAGUAAACUUAAAAAAAUUAUUCUGUAAUCUAACAAAAGUAAUAGUGUGUGUAUCCUAACAGAACUAUAAAACUAAUUUCUUGGA